UAGGGAAUCUUCGGCAAUGGACGAAAGUCUGACCGAGCAACGCCGCGCGAGUGUAGAAGGUUUUCGGAUCGUAAAACUCUGUUGUUAGAGAAGAACAAGGACGUUAGUAACUGAACGUCCCCUGACGGUAGCUAACCAGAAAGCCACGGCUAACUACGUGCCAGCAGCCGCGGUAAUACGUAGGUGGCAAGCGUUGUCCGGACUUAUUGUGCGUAAAGCGAGCGCAGGCGGUUUCUUAAGUCUGAUGUGAAAGCCCCCGGCUCAACCGGGGAGGGUCAUUGGAAUAUGGGAGACUUGCGUGCAGAGGAGGAGAGUGGAAUUCCAUGUCUAGCGGUGAAAUGCGUAGAUAUAUGGAGAAACACCGGUGGCGAAGGCGGCUCUCUGGUCUGUAACUGACGCUGAGGCUCGAAAGCGUAGGGAGCAAACAGG
Molecule: ribosomal RNA, 429 nt
Filed under: Gemmatimonadota bacterium
Lineage: Bacteria; Pseudomonadati; Gemmatimonadota
Description: Gemmatimonadetes bacterium partial 16S ribosomal RNA
Rfam family: Bacterial small subunit ribosomal RNA
Source: RNAcentral